RNAcentral lists this ribosomal RNA (446 nucleotides) under uncultured organism. RNAcentral's name for it is "bacterial SSU rRNA". It matches the Rfam family "Bacterial small subunit ribosomal RNA", at positions 56 to 527 of the family's 1533-position model. The record is from RNAcentral.
UGCAGUCGACGGGCUCUUCGGAGCAAGUGGCGGACGGGUGAGUAACGCGUGAGAAUGUGCCUUCAGGAUGGGGAUAACAAUAGGAAACUAAUGCUAAGACCCAAUGUGCCUUAAGUGGUGAAAAAUGAAAAUUGCCUGAAGAGGAGCUCGCGUCUGAUUAGCUAGUUGGUAAGGUAAUGGCUUACCAAGGCAACGAUCUUUAGGGGGCCUGAGAGGGUGGUCCCCCACACUGGUACUGAGACACGGACCAGACUCCUACGGGAGGCAGCAGUGAGGAAUAUUGGUCAAUGGACGCAAGUCUGAACCAGCCAUGCCGCGUGCAGGAAGACGGCCCUAUGGGUUGUAAACUGCUUUUAUAUAGGAAGAAACUUCUCUACGUGUAGAGAACUGACGGUACUGUAUGAAUAAGGACCGGCUAACUCCGUGCCAGCAGCCGCGGUAAUACG